GGAAUUUGAGAAGACCGAUCGAAGAAGUCAUUCCUAUACUUGAGAAAAAGCUGACCAAUGCCGCAGGCAGGGAAGUUGUCUUGUGGUUCAUGGAGGAAAAAACGAACGACAUAACGAAACAGGUAACUUGAGACAGGGCCAAUGUUUUGCAUUUAUGCUUUUGGAAUAAGAUGAAGCCUAAUUUAGUUUUAGUUGUUGUUGUUGUACUUUCAGGCAUGUGUGGUGCAACCUAAAGCCGAAAUCGAUCUCCAAUUCGAGUCUACCAAGCUGAGCACUCCUUGGGGAUAUGUUAGUGCAAUAGCUUUAUGUGUUACAACUUUCGGGACCAUUGCUUUAAUGAGCGGAUUCUUCUUGAAACCCGGUGCUACAUUUGACGACUAUCUCGCCGAUGUCUUGCCUCUCUUCGGUGGCUUCAUCUCCAUUUUGGGAGUUUCCGAGGUAUGCCAUUAUUUUCCGAAUGGAGCCACAUAAGUAAUAUGUAUAUCUUAUCCCUUGGUGGAGCCAAGAGGGGCAGGCAAGGGCCUAGCCCUUAAAAUGGAAAAAUUUUCAUUUAGGUCAUUUAUAAUUUAUAAAAUUUUAAAUUAAUAAUGGUAAAAUUGCAUUUUCCCCUAAAUAAUAAAAAUUUAAUUUAAUCUUUUAAAAAUUAUAAAAAUAUAGUCUAUUAAAAUGGUGAAGUUGUAUUUUUAGUAUCGUAUAAAUAUACAAUUUAAUUUUGGCCUCCAAAAAAAAUUUUAUGGCUCUGCAACUGAUCUUAUCCGAGGCAUAUCUUUCCAUAUGUGAGUUUCUAAGGUAUGUCAGAACUUUCCGUGGGGGAGUUUCUGAGGCAUUUUAACCCCAAGUUGCAUUUGUUCCCUUUUAGCUUAGAAUAAUGUGGUAUCUGUUCUUAGUGGUUGUUCAAGUCUGUGCAUUACUCCUCUUAAUCCGAACGGAGGGAUUGUAACCUGACGUUGCUAGAAUAAGAUAGCAUCUGUUCUCGUGAUUGUUCAAAGGUUGUGCAUUACUCCUCUUAAUCUGAACGGAGGGAUUGCAGGGAGGCAUUGUAUACUGAUUGUUCAAAGGCUGUGCAUUACUCCUAAUCCGAACAGAGGGAUUGCGAGGAGGCAUUGUAACCUGAAGUUGCAUUUUUUGCGGUUGUUGGUAGAAUAAAAUAGUAUUUGUUCUCGUGAUUGUUCAAAGGCUGUGCAUUAAUCCUCCUAAUCCGAACAUAGAGAUUGUGGUGGAGACAUUUAACCCGAAGUUGCAUUUUUGUUGUACAUUUAAUAGUUUCCUCGCUCUUGCUACGUAUUUACGUACAAAGUUAUUCAAGAGCGUAUCUCUCAUCUUUGGCAGAUAGCCACGAGGGUGACAGCGGCUCGUUACGGUGUUAAACUCAGCCCCUCAUUUCUUGUUCCAUCCAAUUGGACCGGUUGUUUAGGUGUGAUGAACAAUUACGAGUCAUUGCUUCCAAAUAAGAAGGCUCUUUUCGAUAUCCCGGUGGCACGUACAGCUAGCGCUUACUUGACAUCACUGGUGCUUGCAAUCGCUGCCUUCAUAUCUGAUGGCAGCUUUAAUGGUGGCAAUAACGCAUUGUAAGAUCUGUUAUAGUAUUAUGCUAUAUACUUGGAUUAUGGUGCGAGUUUCAAAGUCAAGUAUAUAAAAUCCCCAUUUGUUAUCCGAUGUGAAUCAGGUUCAUAAGGCCUCAGUUCUUCUACAACAAUCCGCUGCUUUCUUUCGUCCAAUUUGUUAUCGGACCAUAUGCGGAUGAACUCGGAAACGUAUUACCAAAUGCCGUGGAAGGGGUCGGAGUUCCUGUUGAUCCCCUAGCUUUUGCUGGACUUUUGGGUAAGUUUCUUUGCCUUAUUGAUCAUUGUUGUAAUUUUUCCAUUCUUGCUCUCGUAAAGGCAAACUUUGGAAAAGAAAAUCCUUAGGGUUAUAAAAUAAAUGAAUCAAGCGUGAACAGACAUAAACGAGCUUGUUUGUGCAGUCCCUUAAGAAAUAUUUAAAUCAUAAAUUAAUAUAUGGUUAAAUUAUACUUUGACCCCCCAAAAAUAAUUUUUUUUUGUUAAAUCCCUUAAAAGAUAAUGUAAUCAUAAAUUAAUACAUCAUAAAAUUAUAUUUUGAUUUUUUAAAAUUUAUAAUUCAAUUCCGGCCCUCCUAAAAGAAUUUUUAGAUUUGCCCCUGAACAAGCUUUAUUCAUGGUUGGUUUGUUUAAUAAACAAACAUUAAAAUAUUAUUUAUAUUUGUUUAUUUAGAUUGAUAAGCGAACAUGAAGGUACAAAAAUUAAACUGUUCAUGAAUUGGUCUUUCAUUGUUGAUUUUCGCAGGAAUGGUGGUGACUUCUUUGAACUUGUUGCCUUGCGGAAGACUUGAAGGUGGCCGAAUAGCUCAAGCGAUGCUCGGACGUAGUACAGCUACGUUGUUGUCCUUUGCCACGUCCCUUCUCCUUGGCAUCGGUGGUCUAAGCGGAAGCGUACUUUGCUUGGC
This 2463-nucleotide long non-coding RNA is filed under the name Gossypium barbadense (sea-island cotton). RNAcentral describes it as "long non-coding RNA (GBAR_LNC000011)". The record is from RNAcentral. Lineage: Eukaryota; Viridiplantae; Streptophyta; Magnoliopsida; Malvales; Malvaceae.